UGCUAUCAUACGAAAUACAGGCGGGCGCAAUACUGUAGACAGCGAAAUUGCAUUAAGUGCAAGCUGACUAGCAGGAACACCUAUAAGAUGCGCAACAAACUUAGCAGUGAGAAGAUCCGCUAAUUGGAUUUAGAGAGAAGAGUCGGGACAUCGUCCGGUCAUUUUCUCCAUACUUGUCUAAGCUAAUAUAACUUUUAAUUAAAUUCUUGAACUUAUAUCUAUAAUUCUUUUCAUUUUAUCACCUUUAUUUCAGUCUAAAAAGUUAAAUUAAACCGCAAGUGCAAUUUAGGAGAGAUUGUGCAGCUGUGCGUUUAUACGUUUAUCGGGAUGCAUAAAUCAAAACAAAAGAACUAUCGCAA
RNAcentral lists this small RNA (359 nucleotides) under Drosophila mojavensis. RNAcentral's name for it is "GI26608". Lineage: Eukaryota; Metazoa; Arthropoda; Insecta; Diptera; Drosophilidae. The record is from RNAcentral.